Molecule: long non-coding RNA, 716 nt
Organism: Bubalus bubalis (water buffalo)
Lineage: Eukaryota; Metazoa; Chordata; Mammalia; Artiodactyla; Bovidae
Exons: 2
Source: RefSeq, a predicted model, not a curated record
AUUAACUUCCUGAUUUAAAUUUUUUUUGUAUUUUUUUGGCCACGCCACAUGGCAUGUGGUAUCUUUAGGUCCCCAACCAGGGAUGGAAGCCAUGCCCCCUUGGGUGGACGUGCAGAGUGGUAGCCACUGGGCUGCCAGGGAUGCCCGACUGCAUGGUUUUGAAGGCGGCAGGUGGUGCUGAUUUACUAAAGCCACAGCCGUCGUCUGUGGAUGUCCUGGCUGCCGGACAGGUUUCCUCCUGACCCACCGUGUGCUGGGUGAUGGUUACUCACUCUGUCUUCCUUUGUUCCCAUUAUUCAGACUUUUCUUGUACCAUGUGCUGUUAGCACACAGGGACACCAGUGACCUGAAAUCUUGUUAUCUGGAGACAUAGAGGCAUUACCGAUGCCCUCUUGAUUGUGAAGACAAGACUGGUUUUAGCCCCGGAAGUCAUGCUCUGCCAUCAGACAACUGUGAUGCAUCAGGACACAGAUGGUUCACACCUGGCCCAGUGACCACCCACACUGAGAACGUCGACCGUCCAACGCAUCCAGUGCCGCGGUUGCUGUUUGGUCUCGCACCCAUCUCGUCUUUAGCUUCGUACUGAACAUUUCCCUGCUUAAAGAACACAAGUCAGUCAGGCUCUAAUCUUUCCAUUCCUUAGCAACCCGCUUUCCAUUGCCACCAUCAGAUGAUCGUGCUGAUUUUCCGAGCAAUAAAUGCUUUUGUUGUCUUGU